Molecule: ribosomal RNA, 412 nt
Filed under: Euclosiana unidentata
Lineage: Eukaryota; Metazoa; Arthropoda; Malacostraca; Decapoda; Leucosiidae
Description: partial 16S ribosomal RNA
Rfam family: Bacterial large subunit ribosomal RNA (bases 265-412)
Source: RNAcentral
UGACAAAAUAAAUAUUGUCUCUUUUAUUAAAAUAAAACUUAACUUUUAAGUGAAAAGGCUUAAAUUGUUCUAAGGGACGAUAAGACCCUAUAAAGCUUUAUAUUUAUAUUUUAUUUUAAAAAAUUAAUUUAAUUGUAAAUUUAAGAUAUUUUAAUUGAUUGGGGCGAUGUAUAAAUAAUUUAUUUAACUUUAUUAAGUUAAAACAUUUUAUGUAUGGAGUGUUAAUAGAUCCUUGUUAAAGAUUUAAAGUAAAGUUACUUUAGGGAUAACAGCGUUAUUUUUUUUGAGAGUUCAUAUCGAAAAAAAAGAUUGCGACCUCGAUGUUGAAUUAAAAAUUCUGUUUAGUGUAGCCGCUAAGAAAGAAGGUCUGUUCGACCUUUAAAUUUUUACACGAUUUGAGUUCAGACCGGAG